RNAcentral lists this ribosomal RNA (253 nucleotides) under uncultured bacterium. RNAcentral describes it as "partial 16S ribosomal RNA". It matches the Rfam family "Bacterial small subunit ribosomal RNA", at positions 524 to 776 of the family's 1533-position model. The record is from RNAcentral.
UACGUAGGUGGCGAGCGUUGUCCGGAUUUACUGGGCGUAAAGGGAGCGUAGGCGGACUUUUAAGUGAGAUGUGAAAUACUCGGGCUCAACUUGAGUGCUGCAUUUGAAACUGUGUUUCUUGAGUGCUGGAGAGGCAAUCGGAAUUCCGUGUGUAGCGGUGAAAUGCGUAGAUAUACGGAGGAACACCAGUGGCGAAGGCGGAUUGCUGGACAGUAACUGACGCUGAGGCGCGAAAGCGUGGGGAGCAAACAGG